RNAcentral lists this unclassified non-coding RNA (1141 nucleotides) under Hevea brasiliensis (rubber tree). Lineage: Eukaryota; Viridiplantae; Streptophyta; Magnoliopsida; Malpighiales; Euphorbiaceae. The record is from RNAcentral.
AAAUUGGUGGAGAGAAAUGGUGGAGGGGGGAAACAAAGGGGGAUAAAAUAUUCUCCCUUUGUUUCUAAGUUUCGAGGCAGUAGCCGCUUAGAUUUUCUUGGUUUGCUGUUCCUAUUUGAAUUUUGUGGAAGAAGAAUCGUUGUACUCUCAAGCUCGUCGUCCCAGAACGCUGCUCCAAAGAAGGUAACUUCCUCUCUUCUCCUAUCUCAUAUUGGUUGCUUUUACACUCAAUGAAUUUAUUGUGUUUGAAUUCGGUUAAUCUGUGAACUAAGACAGCAAUGGCAAUAUACAUGUUUUCCAUGCAUUUUCAUAUAUGUAUUGUUGAUGACUUUGUUUUAUUACUGCUAUAUAUAUAUAAAAUUUUAUUCAUUGUCUUUUGUAUCAUAUGCAUGUUAUUCCAUAUUCAUGAAAGUAUUCCAUUCAUCUUAUAUGUCGGGAUCUAAUGGGAACUUAAAUUUUGGUUUAAAUUUCCUAGGCAUGUUGUUUCCUUUAAAGUUAUGUUCUCUAUUCAAAUUUAUAAAUUCCGUGUCAUAGUCUUUGCAUAAUUUCCUUUCUCAUUCAUUUAUUAUUAUGGGAUUUUCAUUUAACUUCAACUUGGGAUUUACUCGUUGUAUGGUUCUGUUUUUGUUUUUAACGGUUUGAUGUCUUCUUCAUGACUAAAGUUGGGAAGAAUCAAUAAUGGUUUUGCUGGAUGAAAAAUUAUGUUCACUGUUUGUUCAUUGAAGUGUGAAUAUGAAUAUUUAGCAUUUGUUCUUUUUUUUUCUGAUUUUGUUUUUCUCAUGUUUCUUUAAAAUGCCUGAAACUUUCAGUGUAUUUAGUUCAUCUUCCUUGUUGUUUUAACUCCCUAAGAGGCUUGUAAUUAUUGGUGAUGUUUGUCACCCCUUAAGGUUUGUGAUUAAGCAAUCUGCUUCCUUUCCUCUUCCUCUUUGUUUGUUAAGAAUUGUCAUUUGGAGGUUAAAUUUAGUUAAUAUUAUUGGUACUUAUAUGUGUUUUGUGGAUAGUGUUUCUUCAUGUCCAAAUUGUUGAGUUCUAGUUGUGAUAAGUAUUAGAAAACAUUUAUUUGUGUCGUCAUUGUGAUGUUUUGGAGUCUGAAAAUAGCAUAAAGAUAUGGAUCUUUAUUUUCCUACAUUACAUCAUAUAA